AUGGGGAAGAGCAGCAAGAAGAACAAGGUCAUCCUCGCGCCGCCGCUGCCGCCGGAUGUCGACGACGAGGACAUCUUGGUCUCCGACGAGGAUGUGGAUUUCGUCGAGGAGAAUAGAGAGCACGUCCACCUGAUCACCGGGCUCAACAGGAAGGCCCUCGACAAAGUCGUCACCAGGGUCCCCGACCACGACGAGGACAAGGUAGAGCUCCUCUACGAGGAGCGCGAGCGCAAGAGGAGGGCUGCCCUAGCCCUGAAACCCAAGGACGACGAUGACCUCGAGGUGGACCCCGUCGACGCUCUCCCUGUCAAGACUCUGCAGGGGGAGCUGCUCUACAGAACCGCCAAGAGAGCAAGGUCUGAAGACAAAGCUAAGGGUGCUGAAUCCAGAUCUGAUGACAAAGAUGCUGAUGCCAAGCAAAGUUCUCAAAAGGAAUGUAAGGGAAGAUCCAACAAAAAGGAAGAUAGUAAAUUGCAGAAUGUGCAGCGUCCACUUGAAGUUCCUAAGGAAAAACUGCACUCAGUAGUGUUGGAAGAGGUGAAGGAAGAACUUUCAGCUGAUGAAUUGUUUGAGAAAAAGAAGGCCCAGCUUGCUGAAUUAGGCAUGGCCAUGCUUGAAGAUCCUGAAUCAAACAUUAGAUCUCUGAAUGAUUUAUUGAUUAUAUGCAACGACACAGACCAAAGGGUUGUUAAACUUGCUAUAAUGUCCUUGCUUGCUGUGUUCAGGGACAUAAUUCCUAGUUAUCGGAUUAGGCAGCUGACAGAAAAAGAGCUUGCCGUAGAAGUUUCGAAAGAAGUGAAGAAGACGAGAUAUUAUGAGUACACGCUUAUUCGUUCCUACAAGGCAUACCUGCAGAAAUUGAUAUCAUUGGAGAAGCAACCCUAUUUUUAUCUUGUGGCAGUUCGUUGCUUGUGUAGUUUAUUAGAUGCUGCCCCACACUUUAACCACCGUGAAAGCUUACUGGCCAGUGUGGUAAAAAAUUUAAGCUCCUCGAAUGAUGUAGCAAGGAAACUAUGUUCUGAGGCAAUAAGAUCUCUAUUUAGAAAUGAAGGAAAACAUCGCGGUGAGGCAACUGUUGAAGCAGUAAGAUUGAUAUCAGCUAGUGUGAAGCUCAAUGAUUGCCAGCUCCAUCCUGAUGUCGUUGAGGUCUGCUUGUCUUUGAAGUUUGAUGAAGACCUUGGAAAAGAUGAGAGCAAGGAAGAAAAAAUGAAACCAAAGAAAAAUAAACGAUAUCAGAAUCGGGAUGUCACAAAACCGAGUGAGAAGAAAAAAAUAAAAAAGGAAUUGCUUUCUAAGGCCAGACAAGAGGUUCAUGCAGAUCUUAGAGCUGUUUCAUUUACUCUUGAUCCAAAGGAGAAAAAAAUGAUACAAAGGGAAACACUUGCAGCUCUUUUUGAGACCUAUUUUCGAAUUUUGAAGCAUAGCAUGAACACUUCAAAUUCAAGGUAUAAGGCCACUAGCGUCUUCCCUGGUGGCUCACACCCUUUACUUGCUCCAUGCUUGGAGGGCUUAGGAAAAUUCUCACAUUUAAUUGAUUUGGAUUUCAUGAGUGAACUUAUCGCUUGCCUUAAGAAGCUUUCUGGGUAUACAGACCAUCAAGGUGAAAUUCCACCGGACAAUACACUCUCUGUGUCAGAACGCCUACAAUGCUGCAUAGUUGCUUUUAAAGUCUGGAGGAGCAAUCUUGAGGCUUUGAAUGUAGACCUGCAGGACUUCUUUGUGCAGUUUUAUAACCUUAUACUGGAGUAUCGACCUGACAGAGAUCGUGGUGAGGUUUUGGCUGACGCUCUGAAGACACUUCUGUGGGAAGGCAAGCAGCAGGAUAUGCUAAGAGCAGCUGCUUUCAUUAAACGUCUGGCAACAUUUGCUCUGUCAUUUGGCUCCGCAGAAGCAAUAGCAGCCUUGAUCACGCUGAAGCAUCUUCUCCAGAAGAAUACCAAGUGCCGUAACAUGUUGGAAAAUGAUGCUGGCGGCGGUUCCCUGUCUAGCUUAGUUGCGAAAUAUGACCCAGAGGCUAAAGAUCCUUAUCUGAGUGGGGCACUAGCGACAGUACUUUGGGAGCUUAGCCUUCUGCAGAAGCAUUAUGAUGAAACUGUUAGUGGAAUUGCUUCAAAUAUCUUGAGCAUGGCAAAUCUGAACGCCACCCAGAAUCCAGUUCAACUUUCUAGCUCAAAUCCUCUUGAAGCAUACAAAGACUUGUCGAUGGGACGUGAAUUAUCAAAGCCAACCCACAAAGUGUCACAGACAUUGAAGUGCAAAAGGAAACGACGCAGUAAGGAGUUUGUCGCUCUAAGUCCAGAUGUGCUCGAGAAGGCAGAUUGCACGGUGGGCGAAGAUGAACUGAGAGAGAAGUUGCAAAGUCAUUUCGCGGUACUAAGAGGCAUUUCCGAGAAUGAGAGAUUGAGGACCGAGUUGAACCAUGCUUUGUCAUCCAUAAACAUGUACAAGGAAUACAAGAAGCAGAAAAAGGUAAGUAAGAAAUCAAAGAAAGCUGCAAAGGCUUAG
Molecule: ribosomal RNA, 2505 nt
Filed under: Triticum aestivum (bread wheat)
Lineage: Eukaryota; Viridiplantae; Streptophyta; Magnoliopsida; Poales; Poaceae
Description: partial small subunit ribosomal RNA
Source: RNAcentral